This 71-nucleotide microRNA precursor is filed under the name Agrilus planipennis (emerald ash borer). RNAcentral describes it as "mir-87 microRNA precursor family". It matches the Rfam family "mir-87 microRNA precursor family". The record is from Rfam by way of RNAcentral. Lineage: Eukaryota; Metazoa; Arthropoda; Insecta; Coleoptera; Buprestidae.
UGUCAUCACGCUUGAACUUUGUUUUUCCUUUGUUUUGUAAUAGGUGAGCAAAGAUUCAGGUGUGUUGACAA